GGUCAAGUUAUUAAGGGUGCAGGGCGGAUGCCUUGGCACUAGGAGCCGAUGAAGGACGUGAUAAGCUGCGAUAAGCUUCGGGGAGUUGCACGUAAACUUUGAUCCGAAGAUUUCCGAAUGAGGAAACUCACUUAGAGUAAUGUCUAAGUAUCAUUAAGUGAAUACAUAGCUUAAUGAGGGGAACUCAGGGAACUGAAACAUCUAAGUACCUGAAGGAAGAGAAAGAAAUUCGAUUCCGUAAGUAGCGGCGAGCGAACGCGGAUUAGCCCAAACCAAUAAAGUUUUCUUUAUUGGGGUUGCGGACAUAUCAUAACGAAGAGGUAUCGUAAUUGAAGAGGUUUGGAAAGACCCACCACAGAAGGUAAUAGUCCUGUAUGUUAAACGAGAAGACUUUAGAUAUGAUCCAGAGUACCACGGGACACGUGAAACCCUGUGGGAAGCAGGAGGGACCACCCUCCAAGGCUAAAUACUACCUAGUGACCGAUAGCGUAUAGUACCGUGAGGGAAAGGUGAAAAGAACCCCGGGAGGGGAGUGAAAUAGAACCUGAAACCCUGCACUUACAAGCUGUGGAAGCACAUUUCUUGUGUGACCGCGUACUUUUUGUAGAACGGGCCAACGAGUUACGUUAAGUAGCAAGGUUAAGCACUUAAGGUGCGGAGCCGUAGCGAAAGCGAGUUUUAACUGAGCGUUCAGUUACUUGACGUAGACCCGAAACCGGGCGACCUACCCAUGAGCAGGAUGAAGCGAAAGUAAAAUUUCGUGGAGGUCCGAACCCACGAGCGUUGAAAAGCUCGGGGAUGACUUGUGGGUAGCGGUGAAAUUCCAAUCGAGCCCGGAGAUAGCUGGUUCUCCCCGAAAUAGCUUUAGGGCUAGCCUCAAGGUGAGAGAUACGGAGGUAGAGCACUGAAUGUCCUAGGGGGUAUUGCACCUACCGAAGACUAUCAAACUCCGAAUGCCGUCAUCUUAUACUUGGGAGUCAGACUGUGGGUGAUAAGAUUCAUAGUCGAAAGGGCAACAGCCCAGAUCGUCAGCUAAGGUCCCUAAAUGUAAGUUAAGUGGUAAAGGAUGUGGGAUUGCACAGACAACCAGGAUGUUGGCUUAGAAGCAGCCACUCAUUCAAAGAGUGCGUAAUAGCUCACUGGUCGAGUGAUCCUGCGCCGAAGAUUUCCGGGGCUAAAACUUACUACCGAAGCUACGGCAUCAGUAAUGAUGGGUAGGGGAGCUUCCCAUACGGGUUGAAGCAUGACCGUAAGGACAUGUGGACAGUAUGGGAGUGAGAAUGUUGGCAUGAGUAGCGAGAUGUGGGUGAGAAUCCCACAGGCCGUAAACCCAAGGUUUCCAGGGGAAGGUUCGUCCGCCCUGGGUUAGUCGGGACCUAAGCUGAGGCCGAAAGGCGUAGGUGAUGGACAACAGGUUGAUAUUCCUGUACUACCGAUAACCGUUUGAGAGAAGGGAUGACACAGUAGGAUAAGCUAAGCACACUGUUGGUUAUGUGUGCCCAAGCAUUGAGGCAGUCAAAGUAGGCAAAUCCGCUUUGAUAAUGCUGGGAUGUGAUGGGGAGCGAAAUUUAGUAGCGAAGUAGCUGAUUUCACACUGUCAAGAAAAGUCUCUAUCGAGGUUAAAGGUACCCGUACCGCAAACCGACACAGGUGGGUGAGGAGAGUAUCCUAAGGCCAGCGAGAGAACUGUUGUUAAGGAACUCGGCAAAAUGACCCCGUAACUUAGGGAUAAGGGGUGCCACCAUCAGGUGGCCGCAGAGAAUAGGCCCAAGCGACUGUUUACCAAAAACAUAGGUUUCUGCUAAGUCGCAAGACGAUGUAUAGGAGCUGACGCCUGCCCGGUGCUGGAAGGUUAAGGGGAUCUGUUAGAGCAAUCGAAGCAGUGAACUUAAGCCCCAGUAAACGGCGGCCGUAACUAUAACGGUCCUAAGGUAGCGAAAUUCCUUGUCGGGUAAGUUCCGACCCGCACGAAAGGCGUAACGAUUUGGGCACUGUCUCAACAACAGACUCGGUGAAAUUGUAAUUCCGGUGAAGAUGCCGGAUACCUGCGACAGGACGGAAAGACCCCAUGGAGCUUUACUGUAGCUUGACAUUGGGUCUUGGUACUACAUGUACAGGAUAGGUGGGAGGCUUUGAAACCAGGACGCCAGUUUUGGCGGAGCCAUCCUUGGGAUACCACCCUUGUAGUACUGGGACUCUAACCAUAGGCCAUGAAUCUGGUCUUGGGACACUGUCAGGUGGGCAGUUUGACUGGGGCGGUCGCCUCCCAAAAGGUAACGGAGGCGCUCAAAGGUUCUCUCAGUACGGUCGGAAAUCGUACGUAGAGUGUAAAGGCAAAAGAGAGCUUGAUUGCAAGACAUACAGGUCGAGCAAGGAUGAAAAUCGGACUUAGUGAUCCGGUGGUUCUGCGUGGAAGGGCCAUCGCUCAACGGAUAAAAGCUACCCUGGGGAUAACAGGCUUAUCUCCCCCAAGAGUCCACAUCGACGGGGAGGUUUGGCACCUCGAUGUCGGCUCAUCACAUCCUGGGGCUGUAGUAGGUCCCAAGGGUUGGGCUGUUCGCCCAUUAAAGUGGUACGCGAGCUGGGUUCAGAACGUCGUGAGACAGUUCGGUCCCUAUCCGUCGCAGGCGUAGGAAAUUUGAGAAGACCUGUCCUUAGUACGAGAGGACCGGGAUGGACGUACCUCUGGUGUACCAGUUGUUCUGCCAAGGGCAUGGCUGGGUAGCUAUGUACGGAAUGGAUAAGCGCUGAAAGCAUCUAAGCGCGAAGCCAACUUCAAGAUAAGAUUUCCCACCGCAAGGGUAAGACCCCAGAAAGACUAUCUGGUUGAUAGGUCGAAGGUGUAAGUGCAGCAAUGUAUUUAGCUUAUCGAUACUAAUAGGUCGAGGACUUGACCAA
RNAcentral lists this ribosomal RNA (2898 nucleotides) under Escherichia coli. RNAcentral describes it as "23S ribosomal RNA". It matches the Rfam family "Bacterial large subunit ribosomal RNA". Lineage: Bacteria; Pseudomonadati; Pseudomonadota; Gammaproteobacteria; Enterobacterales; Enterobacteriaceae. The record is from RNAcentral. RNAcentral also lists the same sequence under 1 other name.